UUUUUCCCAAUUUUUUUUUUCAAUUUCCAUCAAAACUGCUCCCGUUCUUGAUUCCAAACCCUAACCGUGUCAUUUCAUUCCACAACUUCUUUCCAGAGAAAGAAACUGCAGAUUCCUUUUUGCAGUGAAGAUGCAUAAACCAUAGACGAACAACAUGCUUGUUCUUUACAAUAUGGAAUCCGGACAACAUGCUCGCGAAAUCCCCACUUAAUCCGACCACAUUAAGCUCCAAUCCGUCAAGGAAAAGUAAAUUGAUUAUUCAAGUUCGUAGAAAAGUUUGGUACAAGUGUUGAAGUAUCCAUAAUGGUAAUUAGAUUAUGAAAUUUUUAUUUAUUUUAUUUUGUAAACUUCUAUUUUCUAAAUUCUAAUGAACAUGAUAUUUGUUAUAAUAACAUUGUUAACAAUAUAUUGCACCAAAGGUCUCCCUAACGUUUUCAUUGGAUUCAGAUGCAACAAAAAAGAAACAAUGUAGGGCAUCAAAUGACCAUUGGUGACUAAUUGAAAAAAAGCAAAGUAAGGUAUCAGAAACAAAAUACAAAAAAGCUAAAAAGUAGCAAAGGGGGAUCAAAGAAUUGAUUGGUUCUUGUUGACGAGGAUGAUGGGAUAUUUCAAGGUAUCAGUUUGUGAGAUUUUAAGGUACGUAUGUAUAGUGAUUUAAGUAUGUCUGUUUGUUGUUUCAAUAUUUUUGUUAUUGCUAUUUGUUGAUGGUAUUUUAUUUCAUAUGGCAAGAUAAUUGUUACUUUAGGCUGGUAUAGGAAACUGUUGUAAAUGAGAGAAUACUUGAUUCCUAUUUGUAUGGCUUGGUUUUAAUAAGCGAAAAGCGCACCGACGCGACAAGGUCUAAAGCAAGGCGCAAAGUGCAAAGGGGUGCGCUUUUUAUACAUGAGGCACUCUCUAUAUAUAUAGGAAAAAAUGUCCCUUUUACACUAAUCUUACCCUAUAUAUAUAUGUAUUUCGUAAGCUUUUAGCAUUCCCUAACCAAAAUACAACAAUAAAUAAGGUUUAUAUAUGUUUUAAUAUAUAAAUUAUCUAAAUGUACAACCUAAAAAGCCUAGUGUACAACAUCCUGCUGCACAAAAAAGAUGAUGUACAUGAGGCGCGUGCGCCUCACUUGAAGCGAUGCCCUUUGCGCCUUAGGGAGCCUUGCGUCUAGGCGUGUUUUUUUAAAACCAAUUAACCAAGUUGUAUGGUUAAUCCUAUAUCAGGAAAAAGGCAGCCCCAUCAUAAGAAAAAAAACAUUGUUGAAUUUAAUCCUACAAGUAUAUGUAAAUUGGGUGUUUGUUGGAAUUUAGAUACACUUCAAUUUUGUGCUACCUUAAUAUGGAUUUAACUUAUUUUUGUAUGUAUGUGUGUUUAUAUUAGCCAUAUUAAUAUUAUGACCCUAGUUUUCAAUUAGAAAUAUUUUAACUUUUCUCUUUAGUAGAUUUGAAUAGACUUUUCCUUUGCCUGCUUUUCAGAAUUUGACCAAAGGUAUUUAGUUAAAAUUAUUUAAUUAUCGGCUUGAAAUAUUAACAUGGAGUAGAUCCACAUCGAAGUAAUACAAAGGGGUUUACAUAAGUAGGCUACUCUUUUAGUCCUUUAAGGGUGAAUCGAUAUAGCAAAUAAUUCUAAGGAACUAAACAUUGUAGCCUAAUAAAUAUGUGAAAUAUUCCAAUAGAGAUGACCCCAAAUAUAAAUAUAAGAAUAAUGCCAACAGACUGCCCCAACUAAAAUGUAAACACACUAGUCUAAUGAAUCUGGUUCAAUAGUGCAUCACUUUCUUAAGACAUACCUUGAUGAUAUAAGAAGAGCAGGCAUUAGGAUCUCACUUUGGUUGACCCAUUUACAAAAUAAGUGAAGACUGCACCUCAGAAACACAAAAGACAAAAUCCAUCUAUACAUAUAAUCAAGUGCGCAUGGUUAACACAACAAUUAAUAGUCGUAGGUGGAAACUAUGAUCCUACAAUAUUUAUUUGAUUGAUAAGCAAUCUGCACAUAAUGUUCAUGUCACUGUAAUUGGCAAUCAAGUAAAGGUUGUAAGGUGGGUUGAUCAAGCGGUUUGGGUAACAGGCCAAAACAAGUAUUUUUUAACAUAGGGUAACACAUACUCGGUCAAUUUUUUAAUAUAGGUUAAAACAUACUAGAUCAGGUUGAGCUAUGGGUGUUAAUUGGGUAUCGGGUUCUUCGGGUUGGUUCCUCGUUUUUUUUACAUAGGAAAUCAACUCGAAUACUGAACAAACUAAGUAAUAUGUAAUUCGGUUUCGGGUUUGUUCGAGUCGGGCAGAUUGGCUGCUUUUUCAACAAGAAAUUUUAUGUAUAUGGUUGUUGGCUUAUUGGUUGUUUUCAACAGUCAUCUUGUGGUAUUGUGGUAUUGCUGAAAUAUAUUGGUUAAUUGAUUGUUAUUUUUCGUAAUGUGUUUUCUUUUUCUCUUUUGAAGACAAAAUAAAUGACAAACUACAAACCUUCAAGCGGGAGCCUUGAAAUUGAAAAACACAUAGUUGCUUGAAAUGUGAAAAGAAAAUGAAGACUACCAGCAAAGGAAAAAAUCUGAGCUAGAAACUAGGCGGAAAAAUUUUCACAGCCAACAUGCAAACUCUGAAGCUACGAUACGUCAUACUGUGAAAAACUACGUAUUAGAGUACUUUGGAAUCUUAGAGAUGAGUAGAGGUUUUCGUUACUUUUAUUCAUUGUAAUUGACAGCUAUAUUUUAAUUACAUUGUUACUUUGAGGUUGGAUGUAUGUUUAAAUUAUGAUAUAAGAUUAUUUAUUAUAUUUAUGUUAUUAUUGUAUUGGUGUAAUUGAGAUUCCAUUCCAUAUAAAUAGAAAUUUUAGUAGU
Molecule: long non-coding RNA, 2815 nt
Filed under: Helianthus annuus (common sunflower)
Lineage: Eukaryota; Viridiplantae; Streptophyta; Magnoliopsida; Asterales; Asteraceae
Description: hypothetical non coding rna
Source: RNAcentral